This 253-nucleotide unclassified non-coding RNA is filed under the name uncultured Alphaproteobacteria bacterium. RNAcentral describes it as "contains 16S-23S intergenic spacer region". It matches the Rfam family "Bacterial small subunit ribosomal RNA", at positions 524 to 776 of the family's 1533-position model. Lineage: Bacteria; Pseudomonadati; Pseudomonadota; Alphaproteobacteria. The record is from RNAcentral.
UACGGAGGGGGCGAGCGUUGUUCGGAAUUACUGGGCGUAAAGGGCGCGUAGGCGGUGGUUCAAGUCAGAUGUGAAAGCCCCGGGCUCAACCUGGGAACGGCAUUUGAGACUGAACCGCUCGAGUUCGGGAGAGGAUGGUGGAAUUCCCAGUGUAGAGGUGAAAUUCGUAGAUAUUGGGAAGAACACCGAUGGCGAAGGCAGCCAUCUGGACCGAUACUGACGCUGAGGCGCGACAGCGUGGGGAGCAAACAGG